RNAcentral lists this ribosomal RNA (822 nucleotides) under Triticum aestivum (bread wheat). RNAcentral's name for it is "partial small subunit ribosomal RNA". The record is from RNAcentral. Lineage: Eukaryota; Viridiplantae; Streptophyta; Magnoliopsida; Poales; Poaceae.
AUGGUCCCAGUUCGAGCCGGGAUUGCCGCCUAUAGCGGCGGAGAGCAGGUGGAGGGCGUCCCCAAUCCCUCUCAAGGAGAGCGGGUAUGCUUAGUCCCUUAUUUGAUGAGAGGACUAGGAUUUCCAAUUCAUCCAUUUCUCCGAGGGUUGCUGGAGUUCUACGGCCUCCAGCUACAUAACCUCACGCCCGCCUCUAUUUUGCACAUCGCGGGCUUCAUGGCCCUCUGUGAGCUGUUCUUGGGUGUUGAGGCCCAUUUCACAUUGUGGAAGAGAUUGUUUUUCCUUGUGCCCCAUUCUCAAGAGGGGUCUAUUUAUCAGGUGGGCGGAGCCGAACUAUGGCGCAUCGCCGGGACCGAAUAUCUAUCCGGUACCCCAAAGAGGGUGUCCGAAGACUGGCCCUCAGAGUGGUUUUAUAUAGAUGACGUCCCCCUGCCGGACCCUGUACGGAUCGGCCUCCCCGAGUUCAAUAAUGCCCCGUUGAAGAAGCGCCCGAGUUGGCGCCCGCAGAACCCUCAGAGGGAAGCUGACAGGGACGUUCUGUACCUGAUGGGCCGGAUAAGGUUGUUGGCUCAUUUCGGACUGACCAUGAUCAAGGUCAUGGCCAUAUGCAUUACGCGAGGGGUGCAACCGCUUCAAUACAGAGGCCACCCCAUGUGGGAUUUCAAUGGGGAGGAUGACGCUACCCGGUGCGGUCGCAAGGGGCCAGAUUCGGCCGCCACUUUAACGAGAAUCUUAUCCACUUUGUACAAGGGGGAAGAGGAAGAAUUCCUCCGUGUCAACCCGGAGGCGGAUUCUCCAUGUACAAUCCACCUAGUUGGGUGA